RNAcentral lists this ribosomal RNA (622 nucleotides) under Clostridioides difficile. RNAcentral's name for it is "partial 23S ribosomal RNA". It matches the Rfam family "Bacterial large subunit ribosomal RNA", at positions 1711 to 2343 of the family's 2925-position model. Lineage: Bacteria; Bacillati; Bacillota; Clostridia; Peptostreptococcales; Peptostreptococcaceae. The record is from RNAcentral.
AACUCGGCAAAAUGACCCCGUAACUUAGGGAUAAGGGGUGCCACCAUCAGGUGGCCGCAGAGAAUAGGCCCAAGCGACUGUUUACCAAAAACAUAGGUUUCUGCUAAGUCGCAAGACGAUGUAUAGGAGCUGACGCCUGCCCGGUGCUGGAAGGUUAAGGGGAUCUGUUAGAGCAAUCGAAGCAGUGAACUUAAGCCCCAGUAAACGGCGGCCGUAACUAUAACGGUCCUAAGGUAGCGAAAUUCCUUGUCGGGUAAGUUCCGACCCGCACGAAAGGCGUAACGAUUUGGGCACUGUCUCAACAACAGACUCGGUGAAAUUGUAAUUCCGGUGAAGAUGCCGGAUACCUGCGACAGGACGGAAAGACCCCAUGGAGCUUUACUGUAGCUUGACAUUGGGUCUUGGUACUACAUGUACAGGAUAGGUGGGAGGCUUUGAAACCAGGACGCCAGUUUUGGCGGAGCCAUCCUUGGGAUACCACCCUUGUAGUACUGGGACUCUAACCAUAGGCCAUGAAUCUGGUCUUGGGACACUGUCAGGUGGGCAGUUUGACUGGGGCGGUCGCCUCCCAAAAGGUAACGGAGGCGCUCAAAGGUUCUCUCAGUACGGUCGGAAAUCGUAC